AACGUGGGGAACCUGCCCCAUAGUCUGGGAUACCACUUGGAAACAGGUGCUGAUACCGGAUAAGAAAGCGGAUCGCAUGAUCAGCUUUUAAAAGGCGGCGUAAGCUGUCGCUAUGGGAUGGCCCCGCGGUGCAUUAGCUAGUUGGUAAGGUAAAGGCUUACCAAGGCGAUGAUGCAUAGCCGAGUUGAGAGACUGAUCGGCCACAUUGGGACUGAGACACGGCCCAAACUCCUACGGGAGGCAGCAGCC
Molecule: ribosomal RNA, 249 nt
Filed under: uncultured Lactobacillus sp.
Lineage: Bacteria; Bacillati; Bacillota; Bacilli; Lactobacillales; Lactobacillaceae
Description: partial 16S ribosomal RNA
Rfam family: Bacterial small subunit ribosomal RNA
Source: RNAcentral